This 325-nucleotide long non-coding RNA is filed under the name Mytilus galloprovincialis (Mediterranean mussel). Lineage: Eukaryota; Metazoa; Mollusca; Bivalvia; Mytilida; Mytilidae. The record is from RNAcentral.
AAAUUAGACUAGAGGGUCCAAGGACCCUGUGUCGCUCACCUGAUAUUUUUAUUUACAAUUGUUGCAUGAUAAAUGCAACUGUUGUACUGUCGUUUAGUUUCAGAGAUAUAAUACUAAAAAGUGCAUUUGAAACCUAUGUUUAAUUUCAGCCAUGUGGGCAGGCAGGGUCAUCAUACACAGUGGUCCCUGGAUAUCCUAGUGGUGAUUUAAACCAAGUUUGUUUAAAUUCAACAGUUGUUUCAGGGGAGAAUUUUUGUAAAAUUUAUCUAACAAGAAAUGCAAAGUAAUGAGAAAGUUGUGAAGUAGUUUUGUUGUUGCGCAACCC